This 77-nucleotide transfer RNA is filed under the name Dehalococcoidia bacterium. RNAcentral's name for it is "tRNA-Arg". It matches the Rfam family "tRNA". From Rfam's summary of the family: Transfer RNA (tRNA) molecules are approximately 80 nucleotides in length. Their secondary structure includes four short double-helical elements and three loops (D, anti-codon, and T loops). Further hydrogen bonds mediate the characteristic L-shaped molecular structure. tRNAs have two regions of fundamental functional importance: the anti-codon, which is responsible for specific mRNA codon recognition, and the 3' end, to which the tRNAs corresponding amino acid is attached (by aminoacyl-tRNA synthetases). tRNAs cope with the degeneracy of the genetic code in two manners: having more than one tRNA (with a specific anti-codon) for a particular amino acid; and 'wobble' base-pairing, i.e. permitting non-standard base-pairing at the 3rd anti-codon position. The record is from RNAcentral. Lineage: Bacteria; Bacillati; Chloroflexota; Dehalococcoidia.
CCGCCCAUAGCUCAGCUGGAUAGAGCACCAGGCUUCGAACCUGGGUGUCGGGAGUUCGAAUCUCUCUGGGCGUGCCA